UCUUCAUUUCACGCACUUUGUCACCGAUCAGAGAGGCGAGAGAGUACGUGAAAUGAAGAGA
Non-coding RNA from Pristionchus pacificus, 61 nucleotides. The record is from Rfam. Lineage: Eukaryota; Metazoa; Nematoda; Chromadorea; Rhabditida; Neodiplogasteridae.